CAAUAGCGUAUAUUAAAGUUGUUGCAGUUAAAAAGCUCGUAGUUGGAUUUCUUGGAGGGUGCCAAUGUCUGCUACGGCGUGCGCAGCGGCGCCCUUCCAUCCUUCUGUUAACGCCUCUUGGCAUUCGUUUGCUGGUGGCGGGCUCAGAUAUUUUACCUUGAGAAAAUUAGAGUGUUUCAGGCAGGCUAGGCCGGAAUACAUUAGCAUGGAAUAAUAGAAUAGGACUAUGGUCUCUUUGUUGGUUUGAGGGACUAUGGUAAUGAUUAAUAGGGAUAGUUGGGGGCAUUAGUAUUUAAUUGUCAGAGGUGGAAUUCUCAGAUUUGUUAAAGACUAACUUAUGCGAAAGCAUUUGCCAAGGAUGUUUNCAUUA
RNAcentral lists this ribosomal RNA (370 nucleotides) under uncultured eukaryote. RNAcentral's name for it is "partial 18S ribosomal RNA". It matches the Rfam family "Eukaryotic small subunit ribosomal RNA", at positions 592 to 975 of the family's 1831-position model. The record is from RNAcentral.